AUUGAACGCUGGCGGCAGGCUUAACACAUGCAAGUCGAACGGUAACAGAGAAUAGCUUGCUAUUUUGCUGACGAGUGGCGGACGGGUGAGUAAUGCUUGGGAACUUGCCCUAACGUGGGGGACAACAGUUGGAAACGACUGCUAAUACCGCAUAAUGUCUUCGGACCAAAGGUGGCCUCUAUUUAUAAGCUAUCGCGUUAGGAUGGGCCCAAGUGGGAUUAGCUAGUUGGUGAGGUAAUGGCUCACCAAGGCGACGAUCCCUAGCUGGUCUUAGAGGAUGACCAGCCACACUGGAACUGAGACACGGUCCAGACUCCUACGGGAGGCAGCAGUGGGGAAUAUUGCACAAUGGAGGAAACUCUGAUGCAGCCAUGCCGCGUGUGUGAAGAAGGCUUUCGGGUUGUAAAGCACUUUCAGCGAGGAGGAAAA
RNAcentral lists this ribosomal RNA (429 nucleotides) under uncultured bacterium. Its description in RNAcentral is "bacterial SSU rRNA". It matches the Rfam family "Bacterial small subunit ribosomal RNA", at positions 30 to 451 of the family's 1533-position model. The record is from RNAcentral.